GUAGUCUCGCACAGAUGCAUAUCAAUAAGCGGAGGAAAAGAAACUAACAAGGAUUCCCCUAGUAACGGCGAGUGAAGCGGGAAGAGCUCAGAUUUGAAAUCUUAAAGGGUUUCCCUUUACGAAUUGUAGUUUAAAGAAGUGUUUUCUGUUGAGGUUUUGGUAAAAGUUCUUUGGAAUAGGACAUCAUAGGAGGGUGAGAAUCCCGUAUUUGACCUUUACUUUCAACUUUGUGAUACACUUUCAAAGAGUCGGAUUGUUUGGGAAUGCAGUCCAAAAUGGGUGGUAAAUUUCAUCUAAAGCUAAAUAUUGGCGAGAGACCGAUAGCGAACAAGUACCGUGAGGGAAAGAUGAAAAGAACUUUGAAAAGAGAGUUAAACAGUACGUGAAAUUGUCAAAAGGGAAGCGUUUGACACCAGUGUUGUUUUUCUGAAAAUCAAUUAAAGGACUGUUUAUGCUAAGCUGUUUAGACUUUAUCAGCUAACUGUUUAGUUUUGAGCUUUUCUUUAAUGCACUUUUCAGUUAACAAGUCAACAUCAAUUUCUUUUGCUGUAAAAAAGCUUGAGGAAGGUGGCUUGAGAUUCGUCUUAAGUGUUUAUAGCCUCUUGCCUAUGCAGUCGGAGAGAUUGAGGUCUGCAGCGUAGACCCUUCGGGGCUAAAUGCAUUUGUGCUAAGUUAUAGCAUUUUAUAGACAACUUGUUGACUAUGAUUUGUCUUGUAGCUUACUCGCUUAUGUUAUUUUACCUACGCUUAGGAUGUUGAGUAGCGACAUACGCAC
RNAcentral lists this ribosomal RNA (775 nucleotides) under uncultured Neocallimastigales. Its description in RNAcentral is "partial large subunit ribosomal RNA". It matches the Rfam family "Eukaryotic large subunit ribosomal RNA", at positions 24 to 649 of the family's 3401-position model. The record is from RNAcentral. Lineage: Eukaryota; Fungi; Neocallimastigomycota; Neocallimastigomycetes; Neocallimastigales.